Molecule: ribosomal RNA, 465 nt
Filed under: Vreelandella stevensii
Lineage: Bacteria; Pseudomonadati; Pseudomonadota; Gammaproteobacteria; Oceanospirillales; Halomonadaceae
Description: partial 16S ribosomal RNA
Rfam family: Bacterial small subunit ribosomal RNA
Source: RNAcentral
CCUACGGGUGGCUGCAGUGGGGAAUAUUGGACAAUGGGCGAAAGCCUGAUCCAGCCAUGCCGCGUGUGUGAAGAAGGCCUUCGGGUUGUAAAGCACUUUCAGUGGGGAAGAAAGCCUUGGGGCUAAUACCCUCGAGGAAGGACAUCACCCACAGAAGAAGCACCGGCUAACUCCGUGCCAGCAGCCGCGGUAAUACGGAGGGUGCGAGCGUUAAUCGGAAUUACUGGGCGUAAAGCGCGCGUAGGCGGUCUGAUAAGCCGGUUGUGAAAGCCCCGGGCUCAACCUGGGAACGGCAUCCGGAACUGUCAGGCUAGAGUGCAGGAGAGGAAGGCAGAAUUCCCGGUGUAGCGGUGAAAUGCGUAGAGAUCGGGAGGAAUACCAGUGGCGAAGGCGGCCUUCUGGACUGACACUGACGCUGAGGUGCGAAAGCGUGGGUAGCAAACAGGAUUAGAUACCCUAGUAGUC